UCAGUCCGGACACUAUUUAGUGUUACACAACAAAAUGUUACGUGACUUUUUCGAAUCACUUUGAAAUUAGGAUUUUGCCCUGAGAUGACCAUUAUUUUUCAUGAUGUCGAGAUUAAGACGUGUUUUAUCUAGCUUGUCACACUUUUCUAUGUGUCAUGGGAUUGUGAUUGAUGGUGCCAAGACAACACAGAGAUUAAGUGCACACAACUUUUCCUUGACCUCUCAGAGGCUCAGCAAACCAAAGAAACCAGCAGAUGAGGAAGACGAGGAGCUAAAUCAACCCAUCAAGUUCUCCACCAGCAAAGCCAGUCAAAAGAUUUGGAAUGUAGACAAAUCUUUCGGAAGCCAGUAUCAGAGGCCGUGGUGGAAAGUCCUCCCGAUCAGUCUCUUAGGGGUGAGCUUACUGCUGUGGUGUGCACUGAGGAGCGAGACUGACAUUGACGAACAGCUUCAGAAGAACCUCUAUGAACAUUUACCUGGCUUACUCCCAGAUGAAGAGGUCAAAGGCAAAUCUAGCUAAUAUUGUGUUGAAAUAAUGUGUCUUAUUUAUUUUAGCUACAUUAGGCAAUGCCUGUUCCAUGCAUAAUUGCUUCAUGCUUCCAAUUCAGUGAGCACUGUGCAUAAAAGGCAUUACUGUUCUAGCCAUCCUCCAAUUGUGGUGGCUCAAUAAAUGUUAAAAACAAUUCUCACCCAAAUGUUUGAUGCCUAGAGGUGGAUUAAGUUCUAGGAUAAAAUUAAAUUAGGUUAACGAAGAUUAUAAUCUUCACAUUUUGUAAUGCAAUCUGACCUGUCAGGGAUUGUAGGACAUUAUGAUUUUUUCAUUUUUUUUAACUUGACAUGGUUUGAUAAUGAUGAGCCCAUUAAAGGUUAUAGGCACUACACUGAAAUAUCCAUGUAAA
Molecule: RNA transcript, 899 nt
Organism: Esox lucius (northern pike)
Lineage: Eukaryota; Metazoa; Chordata; Actinopteri; Esociformes; Esocidae
Exons: 2
Source: RefSeq, a predicted model, not a curated record